This is a long non-coding RNA of Triticum dicoccoides, 2197 nucleotides long. RefSeq lists it as uncharacterized. NCBI's taxonomy places the organism in Eukaryota, Viridiplantae, Streptophyta, Magnoliopsida, Poales, Poaceae. The record is from RefSeq and is a predicted model, not a curated record. The transcript is spliced from 5 exons.
GCCAUCUUCAUCUCCGCCUCCUCCCCAAAGUGUUAUUUUUCCUCGCUCCUCCCGAAGCUCCGCCACGCCAACCUCGAUCUCCGCCGCCACCUCCCACCCCUACCUCUGCGGUGGUCCUGCGCCUUCUCUACCCCGACCUACGGCGGCUCUCCCCCCAUCUCGAUCUCUGCUCCCAUCUCGAUCUCUGCUGAUGGUCCUGCGUCCUCACCACCCUAACCUCGGGAGAAGCUCCUUCGACCCACUUCCUUCCCCGACCUCCGCUGCGCUCCGGCGUUCUUCACCGUGGUGACGCCCCAAUCCAUGCCGGGUGCCGGUUGUACAUGCUGGAUUAGGAGGUUUGUACAUGUGCUGGAAGAAAUACUUCUCUUUUAGUUUAUAUGGAUGUGCUUACGUAUAUAUGUACUGGCACAUCUAGCCGGAACAUGAUUGGGAUGUCAGUUUCGCUACUACGCGCCUGUGUCUUCGUGCCAUAUACUUGGAGUAUAUAUCUAGCAUAUCAAGCCACCAGAGACAAGCAAUACUUCGUUGAGACAAUAACAACAAUAUGAUCGUUUUGUUGUUAUUGAUGUGGUUGGCACUCACCACAGCAUGCAUGCCUUGUGGCUAUAUAGCAAGUUAAGGUGCCUAUGGGGGCUGCAAAAAUGGAGGGCGUCGCCGACUCGGAUGUUAUGUCCUGCUUAAGCAUGUCAGUAAUGGGUGUCGGGCAUGGACUCCACAUGGAACGCUCUCUUUGCCACAUAAGCGAUGGCCUCAAGCCCCUAUAUGGAAGUAUCCAGUCUCGCUGUUCUACCAUUUCUCUAGAACAAUAUGUACAACUUCGACGGAACACCGACCGCCAGUGCUCCACCUGAGAAUAAACUUCUCACAAGUGAAAUUACUUCUGGUGUUCCAAUGUAGCUAGAUUGUAGAGAAACAUGAUAGCAUCUUAAUAAUCUAGUAAGGUAUUUGUCGAGCUCCCAUUGCAUAAUAUAGAGAAACCACAGAGCUUUUUCUUUAAUUCAUCGAAAAUUGUUUCGCUUCCAGUAUGUAAUUUGUACAAAAAUCAUGAAGUGCUUAUGCAUGCUUGCCUUUUGUUGACAACAUAAUUUUUUAAGUAAAGUAAAGGACAUGUAUUUUCUAAUCACAAUGGUGCAUCCAGUGGAUAAAGGUGUGUACUAUGAUAAAUCUGUACUCCAGACUAUUAUUUUCGUUUGUGAAGAACAGACAAAAUGAGUAAAGCCCGUGGCAGCCAACCAAUUUUGUUACCUGCUCGGAGGAAUGCAGGAGUUUUGUAUAAAUUUCAUCCUAAUGUAGAAUAUUUAUCUAUACAUGUGUUUCUGGUGGAAACUAACACAUUUUAUGCCUAAUUUGUACAUCUCACUGCAAGUCUGAUAUAACAUAGAACACUAAUUAAUCAUAUUCUCUUCAGACUGCAUGCAUUCAUUCUAUAUGUAUUUCGUACAUAUCUAAUGCUGUAGAAGAACUCUUUAGAAUCAUUGGACUCGAAGUCGUCCAUGCCAAUGUAAUUUACGCCAACAUGAUGUUUGUACCAGAAAGGAUCAUGCGUGCUUUCUCCUACCGAUUAUAGCUUGCUAUUGUCACUGAUGUAAAAUUAAAUCUUCAUGGCAUGCGCCUCUUGCUUCCCACUGUUGCAUCCAUUUUGAGAAAAGCUAUGGAAAGGAUAUCAUUGAUAUAUGUAUCUUUUUUUAAGCAAGUACCGCUGAUAUAACUAUGACAUAUAGUUCGUGCAUUGCUACUUUGGUAGCCAGACUUUAAUAAAAGGACCAAAAUCUAUAUUUUUAAAAAUUAAGCUAAUCUUUACUAAUCAGUUCUUUUGUUUUACUUUAUAGAUUGUAAACCAGUUUUUUAAUGGGGCCAGAUUUUUGGUUGGAAGGAAGAAACUACACUCGCUGGGAGGAUUUGGUGGUAAUUUACAAGGUCGUGCAUCAUUUUUCAUGUAACUGGUAGUGGCGACCCAAGUCACAUGUUAGAAGGGAUGUUACUACAACAUUUCCGUCUAAACGUAUGACACUAUGAUCUUUGCAUAUAUAGUGCACUCCCCCAGUAAAUAAAUAUAAGACGUUUUAUAGAUCACUAAAGUAGUGACCUAAAACUUCUUAUAUUUUUGUACGAGUGAGUAAUAUGUUCCUACUAUUAUAUGUUUUUGUCAUUAUUAUGAGAAGAGAUUAAUUAGCAUCUCUGAGAUAUACAUUGUCGA